Molecule: ribosomal RNA, 253 nt
Filed under: uncultured bacterium
Lineage: Bacteria
Description: partial 16S ribosomal RNA
Rfam family: Bacterial small subunit ribosomal RNA
Source: RNAcentral
UACGGGGGGUGCGAGCGUUGUCCGGAAUCACUGGGCGUAAAGGGCGCGUAGGUGGUUUGAUAAGGGUGUGGUGAAAGUCCGGGGCUCAACCCCGGAUCUGCCGUGCCGACUGUCAAACUCGAGGACUGUAGAGGGAGACGGAAUUCCGGGUGUAGCGGUGGAAUGCGUAGAGAUCCGGAGGAAGACCGGUGGCGAAGGCGGUCUGCUGGGCAGUUUCUGACACUGAGGCGCGACAGCGUGGGGAGCAAACAGG